CGUGCCUAAUACAUGCAAGUCGAACGCAUUUGUGGUUGAAAUGAUAUGAAGAACUUGUUCAGUAUUUGAUUUUCAACAUUGCAAUGAGUGGCGAACGGUGAGUAACACGUAGGGAAACCUACCUCUUAGCAGGGGAUAACAUUUGGAAACAAAUGCUAAUACCGUAUAAUAAUUAAAACCGCAUGGUUUUAGUUUAAAAGAUGGUCUUGCUAUCACUAAGAGAUGGUCCCGCGGUGUAUUAGUUAGUUGGUGAGGUAAUGGCUCACCAAGACAAUGAUACAUAGCCGAGUUGAGAGACUGACCGGCCACAAUGGGACUGAGACACGGCCCAUACUCCUACGGGAGGCAGCAGUAGGGAAUCUUCCACAAUGGACGAAAGUCUGAUGGAGCAACGCCGCGUGUGUGAUGAAGGGUUUCGGCUCGUAAAACACUGUUGUAAGAGAAGAAUGACAUUGAGAGUAACUGUUCAAUGUGUGACGGUAUCUUACCAGAAAGGAACGGCUAAAUACGUG
RNAcentral lists this ribosomal RNA (512 nucleotides) under uncultured bacterium. RNAcentral's name for it is "bacterial SSU rRNA". It matches the Rfam family "Bacterial small subunit ribosomal RNA", at positions 43 to 507 of the family's 1533-position model. The record is from RNAcentral.